This 297-nucleotide unclassified non-coding RNA is filed under the name uncultured fungus. RNAcentral describes it as "partial contains 5.8S ribosomal RNA, internal transcribed spacer 2, and large subunit ribosomal RNA". The record is from RNAcentral. Lineage: Eukaryota; Fungi.
AACGCAAAUUGCACUCUCUGGCAUUCCGGGGAGUAUGCCUGUUUGAGGGUCAGUACAACAAAAAAAAAAUCGGUAUGUUGCUUUUUUUGUGACUUUCCGGAUUUUGGGUUAUCUUAACGUUUUUAAAAAUUAAGAGGCUUAAAAUUGAUCUCUUGCGCAUUAUUUUUAGGUGUACAUAAAUUCUUUUAUUCGUCUAUUAAUGCCAAAAUUUGUUAGAUGCGAUCAUACUGUGUGGUUCGUACCUAAAGUUUUUCAUAAUUUGACCUCAAAUCAGGUAGGAAUACCCGCUGAACUUAA